RNAcentral lists this small RNA (64 nucleotides) under unclassified sequences. RNAcentral's name for it is "D12-methyl RNA". It matches the Rfam family "D12-methyl RNA". The record is from Rfam by way of RNAcentral.
CGUUGCGGAUUUACUCCCCGCAACGGGUGAGGUCGGCACAGCAUACACCGACAGGGCGGGAACG